RNA transcript from Helianthus annuus (common sunflower), 2760 nucleotides. It is a transcript of the gene named pentatricopeptide repeat-containing protein At1g63330, with no coding region annotated. The record is from RefSeq and is a predicted model, not a curated record. NCBI's taxonomy places the organism in Eukaryota, Viridiplantae, Streptophyta, Magnoliopsida, Asterales, Asteraceae. The transcript has 3 exons.
AAACCCGCCCCGUUUUCACUUUUUGGGUCGGGUUGAGUCCUCUUUCCGUCCCUAACAAACGUGUUCUUCUUCCGUACAGUAAAUACACCUUCAAUUCCUCACAUUUCAAGAACAAAUUGAUCCACCAUACGCUGUUCAACAAUCCGGCACCACUCGCAGAUGUUCAUAACCUCAUUCCAUGAUCAUAAAGUCCCCAAAACCGCUACUUUCCUCAACAAUUCACUUAAUUUCACAUGUUGCCUCACUCUCCUGCACCAAUUACAUCCAAUCAACCGACCAAAACCCACUCAAUUCCACACAAUACGAAGCCAAAAUCCAAUCCUUAAGAAACAAACUUCACCCAGAAACCCUAAUUAACAUCCUAUCUUCAACAAGCGAUUUAAACUCAUCGUUACGGUUGUUCAAAUGGGCAUCUUUACAACACCAUUUUCAACACACUACAGAUACAUAUUAUCACAUGAUCAUGAAAUUGGGUAUGGCUUCUAGGGUUGAUGAAGUUGAAGGGUUUUGUAACGAGAUGGUUAAAGCUGGAUUUUCAGCUUCAGAACAAGCUCUGUUAAGAUUAAUUGAUGGGUUUGUUAUAAAUCAUAAGUUAGAUGAAGCUUUGAGGGUGUUUUCUGUGCUUAGUUUGAAUGGUUAUAAGCCCUCGGUUUCGUUAGUUAAUCGCGUGUUAGGUGUGCUUGUGGAGGAAAAGAAGGGGAUUAAGGAUGUUUUGUUUGUGUAUAAGGAGAUGGCGAAAGCGGAUAUUUGUCCGAAUACGGAGACGUUGAAUUGGGUAAUGCAGGCUUUGUUUGAUGAUGAUUGGGUUGAUUCGGCAUUGGAUCAGUAUAAACGGAUGGAGAAAAAGGGGUGCUGUGCGAAUAGCCGGACGUAUGAGAUUGUGGUGAGUGGGCUUAUUGGGAAGAAUCGGUUGGAUCAAGCUCUUGUUGUUUUGAGUGAUGUUUUUGAAAGUGGGUGUGUUUUUGAAUUGGAAUUCUUUUCGUGUGUGUUGCCUUUGUUGUUUGAGAUGGGUGAGUAUGAUAUGGGGUUGAGAUUGUUUGGAAAGAUGAAGAGUUUGAAUGUUGUUCCGGAUUUGUCGGUGUAUGAGGUUUUGAUAUGGUGUUUUGCUAAAAACCAAUGUACGGAUGAUGCGAUGGAUCUUGUUAAUGAUAUGGUAAGUCGUGAUUUGAAGCCUUCGGAUUGUGUGUUUGUUGAUUUGGUUAACGGGUUUUGUAUGUUAAACAAGUUACGCCAGGCAAAACAGUUGCUUCAAGAUCAUCAAGUAACCAAAGCCGGUUCGUAUAACGCUCUUCUUAAAGGCUAUUGCUAUUGCCAGGCUGGCAGUUAUGCUGAUGUCAUGUGGCUAUUUCAGGAAAUGGUAGAAAAGAACAUAACAAACAGUCUUUCAUGGAACAUUUUAGUCAGUUAUCUUAGUGAGAAUCAAAGAUAUGAUACGGUUUAUAAAGCGCUGACUCGAAUGAUUGUUUCUGGUAAUCCGCUUGAUUCCACCACUUACACUGCACUUAUUAUCGGAAGAUGUAAAUCGAAUAAAGUUCAUGACGCCCUCGACUUGUUUCAUCAUAUUCGUGAGGAGCAAUGGAUCGUAGAUUCUUCUUGUUACGAUACGUUAAUCGAAAGUCUUUGCCAAACGAACAAGAUCCAAGAUGCAGUUGAUGUGUUUCACCACGGUUUGUUCAACAAAUGUAUCGUACGCACUUCCACUUUCAGUAUGUUAAUCAAGGGAUUAUGUCUAAACGCGAAAGUCAACAAAGUAGUUGACUUUCUGCAUCUUGCUUCGCAUCAUGGUCUAUCUUGUUCUAGUGAAGAUUACAGUAUUAUUAUGAAGAGCAUGUAUACUUUAUCGAAAAGCAACGAUCUUUUAACCAUUGUCGGAAGAAUGGUUGUAGAAGGUUGCCCUUUAAGUUCCAAAACUUAUAACCAUAUAAUAAAAAGCAUGAGUGAUCAUCAAAGGUCAACAGAAUGUGCGUUGUAUCUUAAUCAAAUGGUCAAUAAAGGGUUGUUGCCCGAUACUGAAAUAUUAUCUGGUUCACUUUCUUUUUUGGCACAAAAGUUGCAGUUGCAUACGGUUCUGCCUGCAAUACACAAGUUGUUAUCUGUUUCUGAUCAUUGUGUGCUGAAUCAUGCGAUUUGUAACGUAAUUAUAAACGGGCUUUGGAAAGAAGGGUAUAAACAGGAAGCCCGUUUGGUAUUGGAUGUGAUAUUGGAAAACGGUUGGGUGCCUGAUUCUACAACGCAUAGAUUAUUGAUUAGUUCUGGUUCUAGUGAAGCUGAUGAAAAAGGCGGCGACACGGAAGAUGAGAUAAGUAACAUACUCUCUGAGGGCUUCGGCGAACCUUAAUCGACAUGUGUUAGAAGAUUACAUCUGAUUGGGGAAGAGCAUCCACAAUGGGUGUUUUUGAUCCGUGUGGCAUCCUUAAGCGUGUUUGGAUGCCCCCUAAGGAUGGAGUCGGGAGGAAUCUGUGAGAGGAAGAGGGGGCGUUUUUGGCCGAGAGGGGCAGGUGGUGACGUGGUUGAUGUUUUUAGGCUUCCCAUUGGAGAUGUUCUAACUUACCAUUAAGUUCUGUUUUAUCUCUCAAGGCCUUGGUUAUCAUGUUUUAUUCAAAAUCCAGUUUUGGUUUAAGAUCAAAUACAGAGGCUCCUAAAAAUAAGAAGUCGUACAAAAGGUAUCAAACGGACUCCGAUUGACCUCAUUCAAACGGCAUUGGAACCGUCUCAUUAAACUCUACGAUGUGAGAUUUUAGGCCUCACUUUUGGAUUUAU